GAUAAUUUUUAUUUCUGGCAUGUUUUCUUGCAUUAGAACAAGGAUUUAGAAAAGCCCCGUGAAAGCCUAAUGGUAGGUCUCAUCAGAGAAAACCUCACAGACGCUCUCUGAUUUGGAGCAACAAAUAAUUGAUAACAGAUGUCAGGCACUGUGCUCAGGAUUGCAUGAAAUAUUUCAUGUAACUCUUGCAAAACUAUGUGAAAUGAGCACUAUUAUCAUCUCCAUUUUACAGGUGAGAAAAGGGAGGCUCAGAGAUUGUACAAACUUGCACAAGAAACUAAGAAAUUAUUGAUAGAGUGGAGCUUUGAAUGCCGGUCUGCCUCUCAAGCUCACAUCCUGUAAGCUGGUGUUAUAACCUGGAUAAAGGAUCUGAGUAUAUGAAUGUAUUCAAACAUGCUUGUAGAACUGCUCCAUGUUUUCACAGCUCAAAACAAGCGCUUCCAUUUUAAUUAUUUGUAAGUAUGUUUACAGAAAAAAAUGUGUCAACAACUUAAAAAUGGACAUAAUAGAAAUCAGGUGCAUGUCAAUGUUAGAAUGUUCAAUUUUUUAUUAUUAUUUUUGUCUUAAGCUGGGAAUUCCUUACCCAUCCCCAGUGAGAUUCAAGUCUCUUCAGCUCAAACUUGGCUCCCCAGUCAGCUCAAUUUCACCUCUUCCAGGACCUCUGCCUGACCCCAUUUGGAGUGACUUUUCUCUUUCUCUUGAUUUCACAUUAUUCUGUAUGCAGGGCCCCACAGCAUCUUGUCUCAUGUAAUAAUAAUGGUUCACAUUUGUCUUCUGCCAAAUAUCACAGCCUCCUUGCUGUGCCUCAUUCAGUUCAUCCCUGGAGGCUAGCAAUCUGCCUUGAGAUGGUCUCAAGGAAAACUUCUGAAGUGUUGCAGGAGGGGACCCCGUGACUCAAACCCAGUAAAGGUGGCUUAUGGGAAGAGACAUUUGGUGCUUUGUCCAGUUUGUGAAUCUUAGUACCAUUUGCAGGGGAUAGAUGAGAUAAAAAAAAAAAACCAAAAAG
This 1006-nucleotide long non-coding RNA is filed under the name Marmota monax (woodchuck). The record is from RNAcentral. Lineage: Eukaryota; Metazoa; Chordata; Mammalia; Rodentia; Sciuridae.